This 76-nucleotide transfer RNA is filed under the name Candidatus Lloydbacteria bacterium RIFCSPHIGHO2_01_FULL_41_20. RNAcentral describes it as "tRNA-Ala". It matches the Rfam family "tRNA". From Rfam's summary of the family: Transfer RNA (tRNA) molecules are approximately 80 nucleotides in length. The record is from RNAcentral. Lineage: Bacteria; Candidatus Lloydiibacteriota.
GGGCCCUUAGCUCAUCUGGUAGAGCGCCUCAUUUGCAAUGAGGAGGUAAGCGGUUCGAGUCCGCUAGGGUCCACCU